This 571-nucleotide unclassified non-coding RNA is filed under the name Hevea brasiliensis (rubber tree). Lineage: Eukaryota; Viridiplantae; Streptophyta; Magnoliopsida; Malpighiales; Euphorbiaceae. The record is from RNAcentral.
AGAGGAGGGAAAAUGACAUUUAGAGAAAAACACAAGAUUAUACUUCCUCUCCAAAAAGGAGUAAUAUAAUCAUACAUCACACCAGUAGUAGAUCCUGAUUCUAAUUCGUGGGAUCCACUCAUCCCAACAAGCAGGUCUAUGAGACUUUAUGGUUGUUGGCCUCACCAAUCUUCCAAUCCCAACAACUUCACACCCAUCAUCUAGUUUUUCUGGAUUGUGAUUUCCUUCUAUCUUUCAUGCUCUCACGCUUAGGAUUCGAAAACUAAGCAUCUAAAGUUACAUUUUACAUGCCACAGCAAUUUUGGAGAAACCAAUCUCCCUUUCACAUCAUGAAGCAAAAACUAAAAUGUGAAGAGUAAAAAAAAAAACCAAAAAAAAGAAGAGGCAAAAUUCUCCACCCCAAGACACUGGCACAAAAAUAGCCAAGGACAAGCCUUCUACUCUCUCUCCUCUUUAGUCAACUGGGAAUAGCUUCUCUAAAAUAAACCUUCUGUACAAAAUGCUAGAUCAGUCACAUACCCACCAAUACCAUUGCAAAUUCCAUUCCUCACUAAUUUUCAGGGGUACUAAA